ACUCACUGUCCAGAGCAUUUUCCAUGUCCACCAUGAUCAAAAGUGCACAGCAAGGUUGACCACAUUCCACUGUAGUCUGUGAAAAACCAGAAACAUUUGAUCUGCCAGUUGCGCACAACAUGGCUACAUUGUGUCCUGUCACGAUCUGCAACAACAGCUUUCCUCUCUACUCCCUACCCAGGACCAGCCUGGGGUCAUCGCUGACGAAGGCCUGCAGGAUGAGAAGGACCAUGAGGUCAUGGACUUCUUGGAGGAAGAUGCUUUGAUGAAAAGCUACUUGGUGAAGACUAGGACAAAGAGCCCAGUCUGCCAACUGCUGCCUGGCCUUCCGGACUCAUUUACACUACCUACAGUCACAUCAGAGACAGAAGAAAACAUCCAUUAAGAAGAAUACACCGACUACCAGGAUGAAUGAAAGAGGAAAUAAUUGGAACAACAUACUGUAGCUGAAGCAUGUGGCAUGAAAUAAAAACUUGUGGACCCAUUAAUGCCCAACAACUCAACAUGGUCCUUGGAAGCAGUUCUUUUCGUUGGUUUACUUCCUCACCUUUUAACACUGAGAUGCUUAAUCAAACCAUGGCUGAAUAUUUUAGCAAGAAAAUAAUGAUCUGUAGUUUGUUAAAUGAGUCCUGACUCCUGAACUAGGAGGUUAGGGUGUUGUUUUAUUUAGAUGUUUUCAUUUUUAUAGUGUGGAAUAUAUGUAUGUUUUAUAGGGUGAAAGCAGGUGUGAAGAUACACAUAAGCUGUCUAUGUUUGUUCAUGAUUCCUUUAUGAAGGAGAGGGUUACAGUAUAGCCAAAUGUGUUCUUAAGAAUGUGUAGUGAAAUGGAGCAUAAAGAGCUACAAAAUACAUAAGCUUGUAAUUACCAUUCCUUGGCAGACCUGCACUUUUAAUGUCUGGAACCUCGACAUAAAAUUAAAAGUGUAUUACUUUUUUUCAUUGA
Long non-coding RNA from Coregonus clupeaformis (lake whitefish), 943 nucleotides. RefSeq lists it as uncharacterized. The transcript is spliced from 3 exons. The record is from RefSeq and is a predicted model, not a curated record. Lineage: Eukaryota; Metazoa; Chordata; Actinopteri; Salmoniformes; Salmonidae.